RNAcentral lists this ribosomal RNA (253 nucleotides) under uncultured bacterium. RNAcentral describes it as "partial 16S ribosomal RNA". It matches the Rfam family "Bacterial small subunit ribosomal RNA", at positions 524 to 776 of the family's 1533-position model. The record is from RNAcentral.
GACGGAGGGUGCUAGCGUUGUUCGGAAUUACUGGGCGUAAAGGGCGCGUAGGCGGCCGCUCAAGUCGGGUGUGAAAGCCCGGGGCUCAACCCCGGAACUGCACUCGAGACUGUGUGGCUGGAGAUCGGAAGAGGAGAGUGGAACACCCAGUGUAGAGGUGAAAUUCGUAGAUAUUGGGUAGAACACCGGUGGCGAAAGCGGCUCUCUGGUCCGAUUCUGACGCUGAGGCGCGAAAGCGUGGGGAGCAAACAGG